UGUCACCAGUUAUCUUAAUCUUUGACCC
Molecule: non-coding RNA, 28 nt
Filed under: Mus musculus (house mouse)
Lineage: Eukaryota; Metazoa; Chordata; Mammalia; Rodentia; Muridae
Source: RNAcentral